AUGAGAGAUGAUACGAGUGGCUUUAAUUCCUCGCAGACAAGUAUAAAUAAUUAAUAUAAUCGGAAGAAUGAAAAUCCUCUACUUCCGUGUAAAGCAACGCCGGGAAGCAUUUCCUUCGACAUCUUUCUCGACUUCACUUUCAGAUUAGACAGAAGCAAGAAAUCUGUGGCGAAAGAGGCGCCAAGACAAGCGUUAACAAGCAUGUUCAGCAUGAUGGAUACCAUUGGUUGUAGCCAUGUUGAGUUCCUUGAUCUAAAUGAUGGAGUCUUCUCCUUCCAAGUUGACACCCAUGAAACAGAUGGGCCAAUGAGAGAGGAUUCCUUCAGAAAGUCUUUACUGUGCUCAACCCAUUUAAUCCGAAAUAAGGACAACAGAUAUUUGCUUUUAAGUGAUGACAGCCAGUUUGAAGUCCUAAACUUAACUAUCCAGCAGCUACGCCAGUCUGAUUGCAAAUUCAACAUUCAACUUUACAAUGAAUCAGGCCAAAAGGCCAGGAACGGCUCUGCUGUCAUGCUGUAUGCCAACAAAAAUGGUAAUAAAUUUGUGGUUUGCUGCAGUGACGAGCAUGAAAUUUACCCUGAGGCAAUGGAUCCUCCAGAGAAUAUUAAGUCAACUCAACACAAGGCCGUGUUCUACAUGACAAAACUCCCACAAUCCAACAAAUACAUGUUAGAGUCCUCCUUGCACAGGUGUCAGUUUUUGGGUUUCGAGCCUGACAAGGAUAAUCCUCGUCAGGUCAACUUGGUCUUACAUCAUCGAGUUGAUGAAGUGGAUGAAUGCUGCGAGAUAACGUUGUUGUAAAUAUUUCACAACCUUAUUUAGAAGUGGCCUCUGAAGGCUGCAACUCAUCUGACAUACUUGGCAGGCAGUGUGAGUUCAGCGUGGGUGUGAGUGUGAAUGGUUGUUUGUCUCCAUACAUGCCCUGGCACGGACUGGUCCAGAGGGUAAUCUGUCUUUUGUCACAAGAAAUGGAUGAUGGUUUUUAUCGAAAUAAACUAAGCUUUUUUAAAAAUAUUUAUGAAAUGUACAGUGGAACCUGUUUAAGACCCUUGGAUUGGCUGAGUCACGUCGGCAUAAGUGGACAUAGCCUUUGCUUGCACAUGUACUUGUGACUUUUGCCAGAGACUUAUGGAGAAUGGUUGAGAAAGGAUUUUUGAACCUACAUACAUCUUACAGUCUUUCCUUGUUUAUUGCGGUUAAUUGGUUCCAGACCCGACUGCGAUAAGUGAAUUUCUGCAAAGUAGGAUUCGAUAGUAAUAAAUGGAAUAUUGUCCUAGUUAGUGCUAGGGCAGGGUGAUAUGGACCAAAACUCAUAUCCUGAUAUAUUUAGGUUGAAUGUCAAUAUACGAUAUAUACAAUGUUCCCUUGUUUAUCGCAGGGGAUAGGUUCCCAAAAUAGCCCUCAAUAAGUGAAAUCUGCAAAUGUAAAACCCCGCACCAUAAUCAACACAAGACAUUUUUAAGUCACUCACACGUAUUGAGACUGAGCAGUGCACUGUUGCCAACUCUUCGGUAAGAAAAGUAGCUAUUGGCUGUCAGAGAAGGUGCAAAUAAUAUUUCCUAAUUAUUUGCAUACGAUGUUGUAAGAGAUGCUGUAGGAAAAAAGCGUAACCUCAUAGGAGAGACAAAAGUGACUAAAAACACCUUUGUUAUGUGUAGCACUACGAGUAAACUUGAUUCUUAGUUUGUUCAUUUAAAAUUGACCAUCUCUUCAUAAAAAUAAAAUAAUAAUUUAAAUAUUUUAUCCCGGCCAGCGGCUCUCAAAAUCUUGACAGCGUAAUAAUUACAUCUAGACUCACCUCCAGCCUCCACCUCUUGUAGUUAAGGACUACUUGUUUAACUUAUCACGCAUUGUUCUUCCAUCACACUUUAUGAAACACUGACAGGUUAAUGAACGAGUCAGAAUGAGGCUUGAGUGUAAUGAUUAGUAAUUUCAUGAAGAUUAACAAAUAUUUAAGUUUUGAAUCCCGCUCUGUAAAACAGGGCGACAUCCAUCCUUGUGGCAUCGUACCUCGUGCAUGGGGGAUUCACGGAUGCGUAGAGCUCCACUAUGCUCUCAGUGUGCGGUGGGAGCUGACAGUGCACUGACGGCUUGUGACUGCACCCUCUGCUGUUCAGAGAAAACAGAAAAUGCAGAUCAAUAUGUGCAAUAUGUGAUCUAUAGUCACCUUUUCACUUGUAUUACCCAACAUAGAAGACAUAGUAACAGAAAAUAAGCCAUUUUAGACAUUAAUAAGAAGUGCUUGUGUGUGUUGCUGUAAAUGUGCUACUGAGUGGGGGGAGGACAGGAAGUGAUGGUGGGGGUUCAGAGUUGAAUUUUAGCAUACCGGCAUAUCAAGUCUGGUGAGAUUUAUUAGAAGCAUAAUACCUGAAAUUAAGUUAUAAAAAUAUCAGGGGUUUACAGAUGGCAGACCAAAUCCAUUAUUUUUACUAAGCUAAUAUUCUACUGGUUGGAGACCCCUGGUUUCGAGACGUUUCCCAACAGUUGUGAAGCUGAGGCACAUGAGAAAAGUCUCAACAGGUGGAUACACAAUUUAAUGGUGUGCCUUCUGCCAUCUAGUGGAAGAGCUUGUAAUUGUUCUGCCUGCCAUUAAGUGACUGGCAUAGAUAGAUAAAACAAAGGGAAUGAAUACAAAUUUUCAGACCAAUUAAGUGAAAUUGGAUAAUUUCCUGUAGCACGCCUGACAAUCUUCAAGACACACUCGUGCCACGACACAAUGGUUGGGUGUCACUGGUUUAGAAAACAUUUUGUGAAAUUGUGACAAAUGCUAGGAAACAUAUGGUUUGUGCGCUGAUAUUUGGCACCUCGACAAACUUCAUGAACUGAGUAGCGGUGAUAAGAACAAGGCUCCAAACAAACAGCAAGUGGUGAAAAUAAAAUGUUUAUUUUCCAAAGCUUUGAUGUUUGCUGACUUACAAUGAUUGAGUGACACACAGGCUCAUUUGUUGGCAGAAGGCAGUAUUCAACUUUCGUCAAACUGGACCCAUCAGCAUCACAUGGACGUUCAGAGUUUCCCUACUUUACAUUUGGGGUGCACUCAUGCACGUGGGUUGGGUUGGUAAUCAACACGCCGACACACAUACAUACAUACAUAUGCGCGUUGUCGCCGACUGUAUUGCAGUCAAUUCUGCACAGUUACAUUUCACAAACUUUCAGAAUAGAAAGACUGCAUGCAAAUUAGUCCACAAAGUCAAAAUAAAGACGUGACAUUUAUUUCAUGUGAUCACUCCUACCUUCAUGGGGAGCCAGAGUGCCUCCCAUUUAUAAUUGUAGGGGUAACACUGACGUUAAAAUGUUACCUUGGAUGGGUCAGGAAGCAAACAUAUGUACAAAUUAUAGUAAACCAGCAAUACAUUUGGAAAACAAUGAUUCAACAAAUAGAACCCUAAUGACAGAAAUUAUGAACUCGAUGUCAGACAGGACUACUGUGACAUAAGUUUUGUUGAAAAUAUGUCAGGAUAGUCAUAUGGCAUGGUACAUAGUAUAGAACUAGACAGUGACAGUAAAGAAGAUACCUGCGCACAGGUAAAAAAAUUGGCUGAACUUUGUAAGAAAACAGAGCAGAGAUGAAUAUGACUUGCAAUACACUUUGUCAAAAUUAUAUAUUCAUUAGAAUUUAUAUUAAAUAUGUUUGGGUCAUUCUUCCAGAGCUUCCCAGUCCACAAACACUUUCAUUUGCUCCAAAGCAGGGCGAUGGCUUUGCAGAUGCCCACGUCGUUGUAGUUGAAGUAACAAAGGCCAGCAAAAGUGACUGUGGACAGGAGGAAGAGACCCGCAUGGGCGACCUUGACUUUGGUGUCUCCGUGGACAUAAUCUGUCAACACCUGCCCAAGACCCCUACAAGACAGAAGUGUGUGAAAAGCACCUCUCGAGCUCCAUCGGGUUGGAUGGGAAGCGUCACUCUCCAGGGAUGUUCAUUGUGAUUCAAGUCUGGGGUGUCCUGAAGCCACUCCAUUGAUAUCUUGCCUGUGUGCUCAGGAUUGGAACCAUUUCCCCAGUCUAAGGUCAAGAGCGCUCUGGAGCAGGUUUUCAUCCAGGAUGUGUCUGUACAUUGCUGCAUUCUUCUUACCCUCUAUCCUGACUUCUAGUUCCCGUCGCUGAGAAUUAUCCCCACAUUGUGACGCGGCCACCAGCAUGCUUCACUGUAGGGGUGCUAUUGGUCUGGUGAGGAGCUGUGCAUGGUUUCCUCCAAACAGGACACCAGAGUUCAAGCUUUGUCUUAUCAGAUCAGAGAAUUUAGUUUCUCAUAGGUGCCUUUUGGCAAACUCCAGGUGGGUUGCCAUGUGUCUUUUACUAAAGGAGUGCCUUCUGUCUGGACACUUUAUCAUAGGCCUAAUUGAUGGGUUCCUGCACAGAAGACUGUCCUUCUGACUCUCCUGGAAAGGCUCAUGGUGGUUCAAAACCUUUUCCAUUUAUGGAUAAUAGAGGCCACUUUCAAUGCAGCAUCAUUUUUUUGUACUUCUGUAUUUGCUCAAAUUUUUCCCUGGAGACAAUCCUGCCUCUGAGGUCUACAGACAAUUCCUUUGACUUUAUGCCUGCUUGUGUACUGUCCUGCUUUUGUGUCCUUUCCAAAUCAUGUCCAAUCAACUGAAUUUAAAAGAGGUAGUCUCCAAUGAAGCUGUAGAAAAAUCUAAAAAAUGAUCAGUGGAAACAGGAUGUACCUGAGCUCAAUUUUCAGCUACAUGGCAAUACUUACGUACAUUCUAUUUCUUAGUAUUUUAUUUUUAAUACAUUUGCAAACAUUUCCCCCCCAGAAUUCAUGUCAUUAUGGGGCGAAGUAUGAAGAGAAAAUUAAUUUAUUCUAUUCUAGAAUAAGGCUGUAACAUAAAAUGUGAAAAAAGGUGAAGCGUUGAGAACACUUUCCGGAUGUACUGUACGUGAACUUCUGACCAAACCGUCUCAUUGCUGUUUACUUCAUGGGACAUCUACUGGAGUUGUAACAUUUUACCUAAUGCUCAGUACUGACUGACACUCAGUUUUCUUCUCCAUAUUUAAUUACACUUUUUAUUUGUUUUACAAAACCUGAUGUGUCAUAUCACUUUUAUCCAUGUAGUAUAUGCAAGUAUGCAAGACGGAAAGAUAUUGCCUCUUGGCUUCCAACAUAACUGUAAUAAAUGUGACCCAAACACAUCUCUUAGACAAAAAUAAGAGCUUUCAUGAAAGGUGUAUAUAAAGUGACGGUGUUUCAGCCUAGGUAGAACACACUCUACUUUCCACUUCCUGUGGUGAAUGUGUAGUCAUAUUUGUGGUAUGCAAUUGCAGAGUACAGGAAGUCAAAUUCUUAUUGAAAAUCAGUGGGUUUGAGAUCAUGGGUAAAGGGAUUUUUUUCAUAAUGUUGUACAAUUUAAGACUGACAUUAAGUGGCGGGGAAGGGGGGUAUCUAGAUGACAUCAUUGUUUAAUUUGCAGAACUUGACAUGACGCAGGCGCAUGUCAUUUUUUUAGACUACGUAUAUUUAAAGACAUUUUUUGUGUUAUUAGUAUCAGCAUUUCAGCAAAAAAAAAAAAGAGCAGUGGGCUACAGAUGGCCCCGGAUUGCACUUUGGACACCCCUUGUUUAUGUAUUUCACCUUCCCGGUGAGGGAAAAGUGAAGCGUUACCACACGAUGGAAAGGCCCAUCUCCUUCGCUAGUCAUGACUCCUGCUUGACAAAGGCUGGGCUGCACGCUUGUGGAGGUCUUCCGCACGCUUUCACACCUCGCCUCACCAUUGUGGUGGUGAUGAUGUGCACACACACACACAUCAAGCUUGUGGAGGUGUGCUCCCGCAGCAAAUACUUUGCCUUUUGUGACCACUUGUAUUUGAUUACAGAGUAAAUCCAUGACGCAAAAAACACUUCCUGUUUUUCACAUUUAACGCGUAACUCGUGGGAUUUCGGAGCGGACGUAUGAAGGAUAUAGCCACCUAACCGGUUCCACCAAAUCCAUUUGUUGUGGCUCAAAUUAAUUAGUGGCAUGUCGCCACAAAUAAAUGACUGUAUGGGAAACACUGAGGUUCGAUUGUCCACGCUUAUUUGAUACAUAUACUAUUAUUGCAAUUUCAAUGUACUACCCAAGGUCUAUUACACAGAAAUAAAAAUUUACGUUAGGUAAUACGAGAGUAAAGCCAUUUAAAGCCGCCAUUAAUACAUUGAUGAGACAAUAGCCACUGCAGGAAGUACGCUGUCCAGAAAAAAACAAGGAACUGCUAACGUGUGAGUCUAUGUUAUCUUAUUCAUGUCUGUCUCAUUUUCUGUGAUUAUAUCUACUAUAUUAGGUAAUACAAAUAUAAAGGUGGCUAUAUGGGUGUUUGAUACAUUUCUACACACUAGGAUGCAUCCAGGCGUCAUGUCCCAUAUUAAAAGUGUCUUCUUCAAGAACAUUCUGACAUUUAUUAAACAAUUAAGUAUUUAUUGUAUCCAUAUACUUGAAUAAAUUGACUAAUUUCAGCUUCUGUAGCUUUAGGUUGUGUGCUUGGUGUAAACGUUGCCCCCUCCCUCUGGCUUAGUCUUCUUUUCUUGUGAAUUUAAUGUUGUGAGGAACGGUGCCGUGACACUCCUUAAAAAAAGCUUGCUCUGACAAUAACUCCAUAAAUACCUCUAAAUGCCACUUAUAGUCCAGUGAAACUUCUGUUUUUUUUUCUCUUCAUGCAUUUUUUGACUGAUGCGACUUAAACUGAAAACACUGUCUUGGUCUCUAACCCGGCCAAUGUUUUCUACAAAGUGUUGAAAGUGACUGAUGUGAUGAUUUCUGCUACUUCUUAUCAAUGUUGAGCUGCCUCGGACUUUGUAUAUUCACCAUGAGCUAGGUGUGUUUGCCAUGGAGAAACCUUCUCCCAUGCGCUAUCACAGCAGAGAUAACACAGAAAUGUGAUGGUGGGUGAGAUAACGAUAUGCAA
Dunckerocampus dactyliophorus (ringed pipefish) is the source of this 6875-nucleotide RNA transcript. RefSeq lists it as uncharacterized. The transcript has 8 exons. NCBI's taxonomy places the organism in Eukaryota, Metazoa, Chordata, Actinopteri, Syngnathiformes, Syngnathidae. The record is from RefSeq and is a predicted model, not a curated record.